This 2922-nucleotide ribosomal RNA is filed under the name Klebsiella pneumoniae. RNAcentral's name for it is "23S ribosomal RNA". It matches the Rfam family "Bacterial large subunit ribosomal RNA". Lineage: Bacteria; Pseudomonadati; Pseudomonadota; Gammaproteobacteria; Enterobacterales; Enterobacteriaceae. The record is from RNAcentral.
GGGUUGUGAGGUUAAGCGACUAAGCGUACACGGUGGAUGCCCUGGCAGUCAGAGGCGAUGAAGGACGUGCUAAUCUGCGAAAAGCGUCGGUAAGGUGAUAUGAACCGUUAUAACCGGCGAUGUCCGAAUGGGGAAACCCAGUGCAAUUCGUUGCACUAUCGUUAACUGAAUACAUAGGUUAACGAGGCGAACCGGGGGAACUGAAACAUCUAAGUACCCCGAGGAAAAGAAAUCAACCGAGAUUCCCCCAGUAGCGGCGAGCGAACGGGGAGCAGCCCAGAGUCUGAAUCAGCUUGUGUGUUAGUGGAACGGUCUGGAAAGUCCGACGGUACAGGGUGAUAGUCCCGUACACCAAAAUGCACAGGCUGUGAACUCGAAGAGUAGGGCGGGACACGUGGUAUCCUGUCUGAAUAUGGGGGACCAUCCUCCAAGGCUAAAUACUCCUGACUGACCGAUAGUGAACCAGUACCGUGAGGGAAAGGCGAAAAGAACCCCGGCGAGGGGAGUGAAAAAGAACCUGAAACCGUGUACGUACAAGCAGUGGGAGCACCUUCGGGUGUGACUGCGUACCUUUUGUAUAAUGGGUCAGCGACUUAUAUUCUGUAGCAAGGUUAACCGUAUAGGGGAGCCGCAGGGAAACCGAGUCUUAACUGGGCGUUAAGUUGCAGGGUAUAGACCCGAAACCCGGUGAUCUAGCCAUGGGCAGGUUGAAGGUUGGGUAACACUAACUGGAGGACCGAACCGACUAAUGUUGAAAAAUUAGCGGAUGACUUGUGGCUGGGGGUGAAAGGCCAAUCAAACCGGGAGAUAGCUGGUUCUCCCCGAAAGCUAUUUAGGUAGCGCCUCGUGAACUCAUCUUCGGGGGUAGAGCACUGUUUCGGCUAGGGGGUCAUCCCGACUUACCAACCCGAUGCAAACUACGAAUACCGAAGAAUGUUAUCACGGGAGACACACGGCGGGUGCUAACGUCCGUCGUGAAGAGGGAAACAACCCAGACCGCCAGCUAAGGUCCCAAAGUCAUGGUUAAGUGGGAAACGAUGUGGGAAGGCACAGACAGCCAGGAUGUUGGCUUAGAAGCAGCCAUCAUUUAAAGAAAGCGUAAUAGCUCACUGGUCGAGUCGGCCUGCGCGGAAGAUGUAACGGGGCUAAACCAUGCACCGAAGCUGCGGCAGCGACACUAUGUGUUGUUGGGUAGGGGAGCGUUCUGUAAGCCUGCGAAGGUGACCUGUGAGGGUUGCUGGAGGUAUCAGAAGUGCGAAUGCUGACAUAAGUAACGAUAAAGCGGGUGAAAAGCCCGCUCGCCGGAAGACCAAGGGUUCCUGUCCAACGUUAAUCGGGGCAGGGUGAGUCGACCCCUAAGGCGAGGCCGAAAGGCGUAGUCGAUGGGAAACAGGUUAAUAUUCCUGUACUUGGUGUUACUGCGAAGGGGGGACGGAGAAGGCUAUGUUAGCCGGGCGACGGUUGUCCCGGUUUAAGCAUGUAGGCUGGUUAUCCAGGCAAAUCCGGAUAAUCAAGGCUGAGGUGUGAUGACGAGGCACUACGGUGCUGAAGUAACAAAUGCCCUGCUUCCAGGAAAAGCCUCUAAGCAUCAGGUAACAUCAAAUCGUACCCCAAACCGACACAGGUGGUCAGGUAGAGAAUACCAAGGCGCUUGAGAGAACUCGGGUGAAGGAACUAGGCAAAAUGGUGCCGUAACUUCGGGAGAAGGCACGCUGGUGUGUAGGUGAAGUCCCUGCGGAUGGAGCUGAGACCAGUCGAAGAUACCAGCUGGCUGCAACUGUUUAUUAAAAACACAGCACUGUGCAAACACGAAAGUGGACGUAUACGGUGUGACGCCUGCCCGGUGCCGGAAGGUUAAUUGAUGGGGUUAUCCGUAAGGAGAAGCUCUUGAUCGAAGCCCCGGUAAACGGCGGCCGUAACUAUAACGGUCCUAAGGUAGCGAAAUUCCUUGUCGGGUAAGUUCCGACCUGCACGAAUGGCGUAAUGAUGGCCAGGCUGUCUCCACCCGAGACUCAGUGAAAUUGAACUCGCUGUGAAGAUGCAGUGUACCCGCGGCAAGACGGAAAGACCCCGUGAACCUUUACUAUAGCUUGACACUGAACAUUGAGCCUUGAUGUGUAGGAUAGGUGGGAGGCUUUGAAGCGUGGACGCCAGUCUGCGUGGAGCCAACCUUGAAAUACCACCCUUUAAUGUUUGAUGUUCUAACGUUGGCCCCUUACCGGGGUUGCGGACAGUGUCUGGUGGGUAGUUUGACUGGGGCGGUCUCCUCCCAAAGCGUAACGGAGGAGCACGAAGGUUAGCUAAUCCUGGUCGGACAUCAGGAGGUUAGUGCAAUGGCAUAAGCUAGCUUGACUGCGAGCGUGACGGCGCGAGCAGGUGCGAAAGCAGGUCAUAGUGAUCCGGUGGUUCUGAAUGGAAGGGCCAUCGCUCAACGGAUAAAAGGUACUCCGGGGAUAACAGGCUGAUACCGCCCAAGAGUUCAUAUCGACGGCGGUGUUUGGCACCUCGAUGUCGGCUCAUCACAUCCUGGGGCUGAAGUAGGUCCCAAGGGUAUGGCUGUUCGCCAUUUAAAGUGGUACGCGAGCUGGGUUUAGAACGUCGUGAGACAGUUCGGUCCCUAUCUGCCGUGGGCGCUGGAGAAUUGAGGGGGGCUGCUCCUAGUACGAGAGGACCGGAGUGGACGCAUCACUGGUGUUCGGGUUGUCAUGCCAAUGGCACUGCCCGGUAGCUAAAUGCGGAAGAGAUAAGUGCUGAAAGCAUCUAAGCACGAAACUUGCCCCGAGAUGAGUUCUCCCUGAGACUUUAAGUCUCCUGAAGGAACGUUAAAGACGAUGACGUUGAUAGGCCGGGUGUGUAAGCGCAGCGAUGCGUUGAGCUAACCGGUACUAAUGAACCGUGAGGCUUAACCUUACAACGCCGAAG